This 429-nucleotide ribosomal RNA is filed under the name Chloroflexota bacterium. RNAcentral's name for it is "Chloroflexi bacterium partial 16S ribosomal RNA". It matches the Rfam family "Bacterial small subunit ribosomal RNA", at positions 355 to 776 of the family's 1533-position model. The record is from RNAcentral. Lineage: Bacteria; Bacillati; Chloroflexota.
UGGGGAAUAUUGCACAAUGGGCGCAAGCCUGAUGCAGCCAUGCCGCGUGUAUGAAGAAGGCCUUCGGGUUGUAAAGUACUUUCAGCGGGGAGGAAGGGAGUAAAGUUAAUACCUUUGCUCAUUGACGUUACCCGCAGAAGAAGCACCGGCUAACUCCGUGCUAGCAGCCGCGGUAAUACGGAGGGUGCAAGCGUUAAUCGGAAUUACUGGGCGUAAAGCGCACGCAGGCGGUUUGUUAAGUCAGAUGUGAAAUCCCCGGGCUCAACCUGGGAACUGCAUCUGAUACUGGCAAGCUUGAGUCUCGUAGAGGGGGGUAGAAUUCCAGGUGUAGCGGUGAAAUGCGUAGAGAUCUGGAGGAAUACCGGUGGCGAAGGCGGCCCCCUGGACGAAGACUGACGCUCAGGUGCGAAAGCGUGGGGAGCAAACAGG